CGCACGGCCAGGCCCGCCCCGCGGGGGAGGGGGCCGCCGCGCCCCGGAGGGCCACAGGGAAAAGUUGGGGGACCUCCGGGGAGGGGCCAGCCCGGACCGAGACCCCUUGGGAGUCUGGUCCAACCGCAGAGGAUCAGAUGCCCGCAGUCCCUCCACGGGCUGCAAAGAAGGAGGGGCUGCUGCUUUACAGAGUGGUAGAGAUGAGGCUUCACAAAUGGAGCACUUCCUGCCAACCCAGGACAAGAAGAUCUGCAUUGAAGCCUGCUGGAGGUCCGGGGAGGGGAAGCUGUGGUCCUUCCUCGGGAAGCCCUGGCUGUCAUGUUGGCUGAUGCAAUGAAGAAGUGACAUUUGAGAAAUCCCAGACAUGAGGGAUAAGAUCCAGCCCAGGUACAGGCAGCGAGGAACGGCAGAAAUUUUACAGAAGGCGGUGAAUCUAAGAAUACUGCAGUUUGGGAAAUCUAUUUUUAGAUCACAGAUCAUCUUCAAAUCCUCAACCAAACUAUGAAUCUUAUGAGAAUCUUCGAGACUCCAUCAGGCUGUUAAUCCCCCUCCCCUACUUUCCAACCAAAUCCCACCUCCACCCCRGCCUGGUCCCCUCACCAGGACCGGAAGCUUCAGCUUCAGAGGGCCUCUGCUACCGCCCAGUGCCUCUGGCUUCAAUGCUUACUGUAACAACCGAAUAAAAAUU
Long non-coding RNA from Urocitellus parryii (Arctic ground squirrel), 688 nucleotides. The record is from Ensembl. NCBI's taxonomy places the organism in Eukaryota, Metazoa, Chordata, Mammalia, Rodentia, Sciuridae.